GACACGGUCCAGACUCCUACGGGAGGCAGCAGUAGGGAAUCUUCCGCAAUGGGCGAAAGCCUGACGGAGCAACGCCGCGUGAGUGAUGAAGGUCUUCGGAUCGUAAAACUCUGUUAUUAGGGAAGAACAUAUGUGUAAGUAACUGUGCACAUCUUGACGGUACCUAAUCAGAAAGCCACGGCUAACUACGUGCCAGCAGCCGCGGUAAUACGUAGGUGGCAAGCGUUAUCCGGAAUUAUUGGGCGUAAAGCGCGCGUAGGCGGUUUUUUAAGUCUGAUGUGAAAGCCCACGGCUCAACCGUGGAGGGUCAUUGGAAACUGGAAAACUUGAGUGCAGAAGAGGAAAGUGGAAUUCCAUGUGUAGCGGUGAAAUGCGCAGAGAUAUGGAGGAACACCAGUGGCGAAGGCGACUUUCUGGUCUGUAACUGACGCUGAUGUGCGAAAGCGUGGGGAUCAAACAGGAUUAGAUACCCUGGUAGUCCACGCCGUAAACGAUGAGUGCUAAGUGUUAGGGGGUUUCCGCCCCUUAGUGCUGCAGCUAACGCAUUAAGCACUCCGCCUGGGGAGUACGACCGCAAGGUUGAAACUCAAAGGAAUUGACGGG
RNAcentral lists this ribosomal RNA (603 nucleotides) under uncultured bacterium. RNAcentral's name for it is "bacterial SSU rRNA". It matches the Rfam family "Bacterial small subunit ribosomal RNA", at positions 323 to 917 of the family's 1533-position model. The record is from RNAcentral.